UACGUAGGGGGCUAGCGUUGUCCGGAAUCAUUGGGCGUAAAGCGCGCGUAGGCGGCCAGAUAAGUCCGGUGUGAAAGUCAAAGGCUCAACCUUUGAAUGCCGCUGGAAACUGUCUGGCUCGAGUCCGGGAGGGGUGAGUGGAAUUCCUGGUGUAGCGGUGAAAUGCGCAGAUAUCAGGAGGAACACCAAUGGCGAAGGCAGCUCGCUGGAACGGUACUGACGCUGGGGCGCGAAAGCGUGGGGAGCGAACAGG
This 253-nucleotide ribosomal RNA is filed under the name uncultured bacterium. RNAcentral describes it as "partial 16S ribosomal RNA". It matches the Rfam family "Bacterial small subunit ribosomal RNA", at positions 524 to 776 of the family's 1533-position model. The record is from RNAcentral.